GGCAAAUUUUUUUAAUGACAAUACAUGGAUAAAACAAGAGGAUUCCGAAAAUCUGGCAAAAAAUCAAAAAAUGGAGGAGCAAACAUCCUUAAUAACAUUCAUAUCAUUUAAAUUAGAUCUUUUUUAUGAAAUCAUAAAUCUGUUUUUUUCAUCAUCAUCAUCUUUUCUUUUCAUUUAUUUUGUACAUGAUCAGAAAAGUAGCCUCAUUGCACCAUUUCAGAAUCUUAUGCAUCCUUGGUAAUAUUUUCAAAAGAUAACAUAAAAUUUGUUGUAAUUGGUUUAAAACAUUCGAAACAAAUAGAUGUGACAUUAUUUUUAUUUAGGUGUACCAAAAAAGAGAUUACCCAUAGUUCUUUAGAUUCUGAACAGGCAAAUUUACAUUUGCAGACCCUAAAAGAUUAUUGGUGUAAUUGAAUAAGUUUCUGAAACAGUGAACUUUUGAAAUGUUAUAUUAUUUUCUUGCCACAAAAGAGUAAAGAGUUUGACUUAAAUUUAACUAAAUCAUAUUAAUCAACUUUUGGGUGGUAAAAAAGAUUUUCUUGCCAUUUCGAGAUAAAUAACUCAAAUUAAAACUUUAUUCCUUUUAUUCAAUUUUUUCUGUGCAAAG
RNAcentral lists this long non-coding RNA (607 nucleotides) under Mytilus galloprovincialis (Mediterranean mussel). The record is from RNAcentral. Lineage: Eukaryota; Metazoa; Mollusca; Bivalvia; Mytilida; Mytilidae.